This 750-nucleotide ribosomal RNA is filed under the name Triticum aestivum (bread wheat). RNAcentral describes it as "partial small subunit ribosomal RNA". The record is from RNAcentral. Lineage: Eukaryota; Viridiplantae; Streptophyta; Magnoliopsida; Poales; Poaceae.
AUGAGUAAGCCUGAGAACAUGUUCUCGCUUCUUAAUCUGGUUGGCGAAGAUGAUGAAGGGAAUGAUAGCGAAGUGACCCAAACAUCUUCUACUAGUAUAGAAGAAACUGCUGCCAGCAAACCUGAUAAAGGCGUGCAAAAUGACACAACUGUUGUAAGCAAUAAUGGAGCAGCUCUUGCAUCAUCAUCUGGUGGUUACAGGAUGCCUUUAGUGUGGAUAGACUUGGAAAUGACUGGUUUGGAUAUUUCAAAAGAUCGGAUAUUGGAGAUAGCUUGCAUUGUAACAGAUGGUAAACUUACAAAACAAAUAGAGGGUCCUAACUUGGUUAUAUGUCAGAGCAAAGCUUGCUUAGAUAAUAUGAAUGAAUGGUGUAAAACCCAUCAUGCAUCUAGUGGAUUGACAGAGAGAGUACUGCAGAGUGAGAUUUCUGAGGGUGACGCGGAGAAACAAGUGUUAGACUUCCUCAUGAAGCAUGUAGGUUCAGACACUCCAUCAAUAGCUGGGAAUUCAGUUUACAUAGAUUUACUAUUUUUAAAGAAGUAUUUGCCACGGCUUGCAGCCAUCUUCUCUCACGUGAUUGUUGAUGUGAGCAGUAUCAUGGCUUUGUGCACCCGGUGGUACCCUAAAGAAAGGAAGCAAACUCCUAGGAAAGGAAAAAGUCACAGGGCGAUGGACGAUAUCAAAGAGAGCAUCGCCGAACUGAAAUACUACAAGGGCAACAUCUUCAAACCGCAGAAAUCUAAAAAGUAG